GCGGGGAUGGCACAACUCGGUACUGCGCCGGUCUCGAAAACCGGUUUCCAUUAGGAUAUCUGGGUUCAAAUCCCAGUCCCCGCG
Molecule: transfer RNA, 84 nt
Filed under: Candidatus Woesearchaeota archaeon
Lineage: Archaea; Nanobdellati; Candidatus Woesearchaeota
Description: tRNA-Ser
Rfam family: tRNA
About the family: Transfer RNA (tRNA) molecules are approximately 80 nucleotides in length.
Source: RNAcentral